CCCUUGUAUUAUUUUUUUAUUAAAUAAAUUUUUGAGUCAUUGAUAAUAAAAUUAAAAAUUUUGGCAGUUGAUUUUUAUAUAUUAAAGGAGCUUGUUGGGAUUAGAAUUUACACUUUAGAUUUUAAUAAUUAAAAGUUUGUUUAUUCAUUUCUGUUAUUAAAAACAUUUUAAGUAAAGUUUAUUUAAAAUUUCAGGUCAAGAUGUAGCAUUAAUUAUAAAUAAUUAGCUACAAUUAGAUAUUAUUUGGUUAAAGGUUAGUAAAAUCUUUAUAAAUUGAAUUUAGUUGUAAUAGUAUCUAUAAUAAUAUUAUGAUUUUGGGUAGUUAAUGU
RNAcentral lists this ribosomal RNA (329 nucleotides) under Promitobates hatschbachi. Its description in RNAcentral is "partial 12S ribosomal RNA". The record is from RNAcentral. Lineage: Eukaryota; Metazoa; Arthropoda; Arachnida; Opiliones; Gonyleptidae.